UAACAAACCAGCUUGUUGUUCAGCUAAAGCUCAUUUCAGCCAACUGAAUUCCAGAGCUUCCAACCAUCCCAGAGUUUAAUUAUGGGGCUGAGCGUCAUUCAGCAGUGCAUUUUUAUACUCAUGUUAGCACAAGGUUUUUACAGUGAUGAGAUCAGAAUGGACCAGUCUCCUGCUGUGGUGAAGAAACCUGGAGAAUCUGUGAAGAUCUCUUGUAAAAUUAAUGGCUUUGAUAUGACUGACUACUUCAUCCACUGGAUACGACAGAAACCAGGGAAAGCUCUGGAAUGGAUUGGUAGGAUGAACGCAGGUAGUAAUGAUGCAACAUAUGCAGAGUCUUUGAAAAACCAGUUCGUUUUAACAGAAGACGUCUCAGCAAGCACACAGUACUUAGAGGCCAAGAGUCUGAGGACAGAGGACACUGCGGUUUAUUACUGCGCCCGACAAGCCACAGUGACUGCAACUGAGGAAGCAGCUGUACAAAAACCACACACACAUUUUUCACACAGCAUUUUAUUGAACAAGUCUUUACUGUUCAUUCGAACACAAGAUGAAUAAUCACCCUCUUUCUGUGGAUUAUUAAUUGCUCAUGUAUUUACAAUUACUUUUAUUACAAACCAGAAACAAAUAAUGUGUUUUAUA
Non-coding RNA from Silurus meridionalis, 639 nucleotides. The record is from the annotation of a RefSeq genome assembly. NCBI's taxonomy places the organism in Eukaryota, Metazoa, Chordata, Actinopteri, Siluriformes, Siluridae.